RNAcentral lists this transfer RNA (74 nucleotides) under Theopea aeneipennis. RNAcentral describes it as "tRNA-Leu". Lineage: Eukaryota; Metazoa; Arthropoda; Insecta; Coleoptera; Chrysomelidae. The record is from RNAcentral.
AUUAUUUUGGCAGAUUAGUGCAAUAAAUUUAGAAUUUAUUAAUGUAAUUUAUAUUACAAAUAAUACUUGUUUUU